GAUUUGACGAAUUAAUUGUAAAUUUAGUAAAACCAAAAAAAAA
This 43-nucleotide small RNA is filed under the name Arabidopsis thaliana (thale cress). Its description in RNAcentral is "ATSL133280". Lineage: Eukaryota; Viridiplantae; Streptophyta; Magnoliopsida; Brassicales; Brassicaceae. The record is from RNAcentral.